RNAcentral lists this ribosomal RNA (2902 nucleotides) under Escherichia coli. RNAcentral describes it as "bacterial LSU rRNA". It matches the Rfam family "Bacterial large subunit ribosomal RNA". The record is from RNAcentral. Lineage: Bacteria; Pseudomonadati; Pseudomonadota; Gammaproteobacteria; Enterobacterales; Enterobacteriaceae.
UUAAGCGACUAAGCGUACACGGUGGAUGCCCUGGCAGUCAGAGGCGAUGAAGGACGUGCUAAUCUGCGAUAAGCGUCGGUGAGGUGAUAUGAACCGUUAUAACCGGCGAUUUCCGAAUGGGGAAACCCAGUGUGUUUCGACACACUAUCAUUAACUGAAUCCAUAGGUUAAUGAGGCGAACCGGGGGAACUGAAACAUCUAAGUACCCCGAGGAAAAGAAAUCAACCGAGAUUCCCCCAGUAGCGGCGAGCGAACGGGGAGGAGCCCAGAGCCUGAAUCAGUGUGUGUGUUAGUGGAAGCGUCUGGAAAGGCGCGCGAUACAGGGUGACAGCCCCGUACACAAAAAUGCACAUGCUGUGAGCUCGAUGAGUAGGGCGGGACACGUGGUAUCCUGUCUGAAUAUGGGGGGACCAUCCUCCAAGGCUAAAUACUCCUGACUGACCGAUAGUGAACCAGUACCGUGAGGGAAAGGCGAAAAGAACCCCGGCGAGGGGAGUGAAAAAGAACCUGAAACCGUGUACGUACAAGCAGUGGGAGCCUCUUAAUGGGGUGACUGCGUACCUUUUGUAUAAUGGGUCAGCGACUUAUAUUCUGUAGCAAGGUUAACCGAAUAGGGGAGCCGAAGGGAAACCGAGUCUUAACUGGGCGUUAAGUUGCAGGGUAUAGACCCGAAACCCGGUGAUCUAGCCAUGGGCAGGUUGAAGGUUGGGUAACACUAACUGGAGGACCGAACCGACUAAUGUUGAAAAAUUAGCGGAUGACUUGUGGCUGGGGGUGAAAGGCCAAUCAAACCGGGAGAUAGCUGGUUCUCCCCGAAAGCUAUUUAGGUAGCGCCUCGUGAAUUCAUCUCCGGGGGUAGAGCACUGUUUCGGCAAGGGGGUCAUCCCGACUUACCAACCCGAUGCAAACUGCGAAUACCGGAGAAUGUUAUCACGGGAGACACACGGCGGGUGCUAACGUCCGUCGUGAAGAGGGAAACAACCCAGACCGCCAGCUAAGGUCCCAAAGUCAUGGUUAAGUGGGAAACGAUGUGGGAAGGCCCAGACAGCCAGGAUGUUGGCUUAGAAGCAGCCAUCAUUUAAAGAAAGCGUAAUAGCUCACUGGUCGAGUCGGCCUGCGCGGAAGAUGUAACGGGGCUAAACCAUGCACCGAAGCUGCGGCAGCGACACUAUGUGUUGUUGGGUAGGGGAGCGUUCUGUAAGCCUGUGAAGGUGGCCUGUGAGGGUUGCUGGAGGUAUCAGAAGUGCGAAUGCUGACAUAAGUAACGAUAAAGCGGGUGAAAAGCCCGCUCGCCGGAAGACCAAGGGUUCCUGUCCAACGUUAAUCGGGGCAGGGUGAGUCGACCCCUAAGGCGAGGCCGAAAGGCGUAGUCGAUGGGAAACAGGUUAAUAUUCCUGUACUUGGUGUUACUGCGAAGGGGGGACGGAGAAGGCUAUGUUGGCCGGGCGACGGUUGUCCCGGUUUAAGCGUGUAGGCUGGUUUUCCAGGCAAAUCCGGAAAACCAAGGCUGAGGCGUGAUGACGAGGCACUACGGUGCUGAAGCGACAAAUGCCCUGCUUCCAGGAAAAGCCUCUAAGCAUCAGGUAACAUCAAAUCGUACCCCAAACCGACACAGGUGGUCAGGUAGAGAAUACCAAGGCGCUUGAGAGAACUCGGGUGAAGGAACUAGGCAAAAUGGUGCCGUAACUUCGGGAGAAGGCACGCUGAUAUGUAGGUGAAGCGACUUGCUCGUGGAGCUGAAAUCAGUCGAAGAUACCAGCUGGCUGCAACUGUUUAUUAAAAACACAGCACUGUGCAAACACGAAAGUGGACGUAUACGGUGUGACGCCUGCCCGGUGCCGGAAGGUUAAUUGAUGGGGUUAGCGGUAACGCGAAGCUCUUGAUCGAAGCCCCGGUAAACGGCGGCCGUAACUAUAACGGUCCUAAGGUAGCGAAAUUCCUUGUCGGGUAAGUUCCGACCUGCACGAAUGGCGUAAUGAUGGCCAGGCUGUCUCCACCCGAGACUCAGUGAAAUUGAACUCGCUGUGAAGAUGCAGUGUACCCGCGGCAAGACGGAAAGACCCCGUGAACCUUUACUAUAGCUUGACACUGAACAUUGAGCCUUGAUGUGUAGGAUAGGUGGGAGGCUUUGAAGUGUGGACGCCAGUCUGCAUGGAGCCGACCUUGAAAUACCACCCUUUAAUGUUUGAUGUUCUAACGUUGGCCCGUAAUCCGGGUUGCGGACAGUGUCUGGUGGGUAGUUUGACUGGGGCGGUCUCCUCCUAAAGAGUAACGGAGGAGCACGAAGGUUGGCUAAUCCUGGUCGGACAUCAGGAGGUUAGUGCAAUGGCAUAAGCCAGCUUGACUGCGAGCGUGACGGCGCGAGCAGGUGCGAAAGCAGGUCAUAGUGAUCCGGUGGUUCUGAAUGGAAGGGCCAUCGCUCAACGGAUAAAAGGUACUCCGGGGAUAACAGGCUGAUACCGCCCAAGAGUUCAUAUCGACGGCGGUGUUUGGCACCUCGAUGUCGGCUCAUCACAUCCUGGGGCUGAAGUAGGUCCCAAGGGUAUGGCUGUUCGCCAUUUAAAGUGGUACGCGAGCUGGGUUUAGAACGUCGUGAGACAGUUCGGUCCCUAUCUGCCGUGGGCGCUGGAGAACUGAGGGGGGCUGCUCCUAGUACGAGAGGACCGGAGUGGACGCAUCACUGGUGUUCGGGUUGUCAUGCCAAUGGCACUGCCCGGUAGCUAAAUGCGGAAGAGAUAAGUGCUGAAAGCAUCUAAGCACGAAACUUGCCCCGAGAUGAGUUCUCCCUGACUCCUUGAGGGUCCUGAAGGAACGUUGAAGACGACGACGUUGAUAGGCCGGGUGUGUAAGCGCAGCGAUGCGUUGAGCUAACCGGUACUAAUGAACCGUGAGGCUUAACCUU